RNAcentral lists this small RNA (230 nucleotides) under Pongo abelii (Sumatran orangutan). RNAcentral describes it as "processed transcript". Lineage: Eukaryota; Metazoa; Chordata; Mammalia; Primates; Hominidae. The record is from RNAcentral.
GGGACUGGGCUGGGCCUGCGGUGAGCAUCCGGCGAUGCGGCACGGGUGCUGCGGGACACACAGACACGCCUACGAUUAGACCCAGGCAGUCACCUACCGGCGAGCGGCCGCGGGUGACUCCCAGACGCGGCGGUACCUCACGGUGGUGAAGGUCACAGCCCAGGCCUUGGACUGCCACGUGUGUGCCUACAACGGAGACAACUGCUUCAACCCCAUGCGCUGCCCGGCUA